This is a long non-coding RNA of Oncorhynchus masou masou (cherry salmon), 1698 nucleotides long. RefSeq lists it as uncharacterized. The transcript has 2 exons. NCBI's taxonomy places the organism in Eukaryota, Metazoa, Chordata, Actinopteri, Salmoniformes, Salmonidae. The record is from RefSeq and is a predicted model, not a curated record.
GCAGACAUAGAGGAGCCUGAACACAGCCAAUAGUUCCCCUCCAGCCCACCGCCAGGCGGAUAAGACAGCUUCACUAAAUCAGUCAAGGACAGGCAGACUGUCAACAAAUCUAAGAAAAUCCUCUGUUUGAAGAAAGAAAGUAAAAAGAUUUGAUUUGGAGACAAGAGCUCUGGGAUUUAAUGAAAGCCCAUCCCUCCCCCCUGUGUCAUCGGUAGCCAGCCAGCAUACACUGUGAGACGCAUCCUGAAGGUUCGUCCACGGAGCAGUACCUGGUUGACUGUUAUGGCCCAGAGGAGAGGAGCUGGGUUCCCGCUAAAGACAUCUUGGACUCCCCGCCACCCCAGUCUACCAAGUAUCCUCCUGCCGUCCUGUACCUUUGCCACUACUCUGGAUUAUCGAUCCCUGCCUGCCUUGACCUGUCGUUUGACUGCCCUUGUUGUUGCAAGAAACAUUGUUACUUCAACACAGUCUGCACUUGGGUCUUACCUGAAACUUGGUAGGGUCACUAGGUACAGAGUUUUCAUCAUGUGUUAAAUAUUUAAGGCCCCAAGUGACUAAUUGUCUGAUGAUACUCACAGAGUAUUUCUGUACAAUUCUCAUUUCUUUUCUUGGCAUGUCUUUGACUGCGGAGCUGUUUUGUUUUGGUAUUGUAAUUCCUUUCAAAGAUAGCAAAAUUAGCCAUGUAGCCUAUUCAAGGGAUGAGUUUGUUGGACAUCAUGUUUAGGAAAACUGUCAAGAAUGGGCAGAAACAUGUCGUUCUGUUUAUUCAAGUCCUGAAUGGAUGUGGUUUUGUUCUCCUCUGACUCAAUACAACCCUGUCAUACAGUCUAAAGAUUACAUUUAAAGAGCCCUUCCUUGUAUACAUGUUUCUGGAGCUACUUCAAAGGUACUUGACUGAGUAUCAAUAAUAAUUAUACUUGGAAAAGUUAUAUAAUGUGUCUAAUGGUGCUAUUAUGUAUAGGAAAAUGGAAGGGCUUGGUGGUGAGACAAGUUGGAUACUGUGUCAUUGCUUACAGAUGUGAUUGUGGAAAAAGAAACAACUCUGUCGAUACAGAAGAACAUCUUCAAUGAAAAUAGUACUCUUCUGUAUUCUGUUAAAAUGUAAUGGUUCGUUCAUAGUGUGUCACUAAGGACUGAUGUCAUCAGCAUGGGACCAGAGGGGAUCAGUUACCAAACUGUUUUCAUUAGUUACGGCCCAACACUUUUAGUGUAAGCCAAUGACCUAAACACUCUUUGAACACAAUGAGUGUUUAACAGAGCCAGUGGGUAAUUUGCAGUGAGACAUGACAUGGUUAAAUAGCCUAAACCAUUUAUUUCCUAUAGCUUAUUGAGUCUGAGUCAGAGAUGUCAGACUGGUACUUUGACAGUCAUGGUACCUAUUUCUCUUACCACACAGGAUAUAUGUAGGCAACAGCUACACUAUGUUUACUGUACACUGCAAUUCAGAAACUUUGUGAUGUCUGGAGACUUGAGAUCUGACCCCCUCUGUGACACACAGACAAAUAUGCUUCUCACAUAUUUUUCACUGGCCUCUGUAGUUUAAUCUGUGUGCAGGGCGGGGAGGCAGACUGUUUGUGUCUAUUUAAAGUCACUCUGUUUGCUCCCUCUGUCAACCUGUCUGGGCCUGUCACACUUCUCUCUCUCUCUCUCUCUCUCUCUCUCUCUCUCUCUCUCUCUCUCUCUCUCUCUCUCUCUCUC